This 795-nucleotide ribosomal RNA is filed under the name uncultured bacterium. RNAcentral's name for it is "bacterial SSU rRNA". It matches the Rfam family "Bacterial small subunit ribosomal RNA", at positions 8 to 796 of the family's 1533-position model. The record is from RNAcentral.
AGAGUUUGAUCAUGGCUCAGAAUGAACGCUGGCGGCGGCCUAAUACAUGCAAGUCGAGCGAGAAGACGUAGCAAUACGUUUGUAAAGCGGCGAACGGGUGAGGAAUACAUGGGUAACCUACCCUCGAGUGGGGAAUAACUAGCCGAAAGGUUAGCUAAUACCGCGUACGCUUCUUGGACUUCGGUUCAGGGAGGAAAGCGAUACCGUGGGUAUCGCGCUCUUGGAUGGGCUCAUGUCCUAUCAGCUUGUUGGUGAGGUAACGGCUCACCAAGGCUUCGACGGGUAGCUGGUCUGAGAGGACGAUCAGCCACACUGGCACUGCGACACGGGCCAGACUCCUACGGGAGGCAGCAGUAAGGAAUAUUGCGCAAUGGGCGAAAGCCUGACGCAGCGACGCCGCAUGGGGGAUGAAGGUCUUCGGAUUGUAAACCCCUUUCGGGAGGGAAGAUGGAAUGGGGUAACCCAUUCGGACGGUACCUCCAGAAGCAGCCACGGCUAACUUCGUGCCAGCAGCCGCGGUAAUACGAAGGUGGCAAGCGUUAUUCGGAUUUACUGGGCGUACAGGGAGCGUAGGCGGUUCGGUAAGCCCUCUGUGAAAUCUUCAGGCUUAACCUGGAAAAGUCGGAGGGGACUGCCGGGCUAGAGGACGGGAGAGGAGCGCGGAAUUCCCGGUGUAGCGGUGAAAUGCGUAGAGAUCGGGAGGAAGGCCGGUGGCGAAGGCGGCGCUCUGGAACGUUUCUGACGCUGAGGCUCGAAAGCGUGGGGAGCAAACAGGAUUAGAUACCCUAGUAGUCC